This 1245-nucleotide ribosomal RNA is filed under the name Papaya apical curl necrosis phytoplasma. RNAcentral's name for it is "bacterial SSU rRNA". It matches the Rfam family "Bacterial small subunit ribosomal RNA", at positions 154 to 1401 of the family's 1533-position model. The record is from RNAcentral. Lineage: Bacteria; Bacillati; Mycoplasmatota; Mollicutes; Acholeplasmatales; Acholeplasmataceae.
AAACGACUGCUAAGACUGGAUAGGAGAUAAGAAGGCAUCUUCUUAUUUUUAAAAGACCUAGCAAUAGGUAUGCUUAAGGAGGGGCUUGCGUCACAUUAGUUAGUUGGUAGGGUAAAAGCCUACCAAGACGAUGAUGUGUAGCCGGGCUGAGAGGCUGAACGGCCACAUUGGAACUGAGACACGGUCCAAACUCCUACGGGAGGCAGCAGUAGGGAAUUUUCGGCAAUGGAGGAAACUCUGACCGAGCAACGCCGCGUGAACGAUGAAGUAUUUCGAUACGUAAAGUUCUUUUAUUAGGGAAGAAAAGAUGGUGGAAAAACCAUUAUGACGGUACUUAAUGAAUAAGCCCCGGCUAACUAUGUGCCAGCAGCCGCGGUAAUACAUAGGGGGCGAGCGUUAUCCGGAAUUAUUGGGCGUAAAGGGUGCGUAGGCGGUUUAAUAAGUUUAUGGUCUAAGUGCAAUGCUUAACAUUGUGAUGCUAUAAAAACUGUUUGACUAGAGUUGGAUAGAGGCAAGUGGAAUUCCAUGUGUAGCGGUAAAAUGCGUAAAUAUAUGGAGGAACACCAUGAGCGAAGGCGGCUUGCUGGGUCUUAACUGACGCUGAGGCACGAAAGCGUGGGGAGCAAACAGGAUUAGAUACCCUGGUAGUCCACGCCGUAAACGAUGAGUACUAGACGUUGGGUUAAACCAGUGUCGAAGUUAACACAUUAAGUACUCCGCCUGAGUAGUACGUACGCAAGUAUGAAACUUAAAGGAAUUGACGGGACUCCGCACAAGCGGUGGAUCAUGUUGUUUAAUUCGAAGGUACCCGAAAAACCUCACCAGGUCUUGACAUGCUUCUGCAAAGCUGUAGAAAUACAGUGGAGGUUAUCAGUUGCACAGGUGGUGCAUGGUUGUCGUCAGCUCGUGUCGUGAGAUGUUGGGUUAAGUCCCGCAACGAGCGCAACCCUUGUUGUUAAUUGCCGUCAUUAAGUUGGGGACUUUAGCAAGACUGCCAGUGAUAAAUUGGAGGAAGGUGGGGACGACGUCAAGUCAUCAUGCCCCUUAUGACCUGGGCUACAAACGUGAUACAAUGGCUGUUACAAAGGGUAGCUGAAGCGCAAGCUUUUGGCAAAUCUCAAAAAAACAGUCUCAGUUCGGAUUGAAGUCUGCAACUCGACUUCAUGAAGUUGGAAUCGCUAGUAAUCGCGAAUCAGCAUGUCGCGGUGAAUACGUUCUCGGGGUUUGUACACACCGCCCGUCAAA